GACGAACGCUGGCGGCGUGCUUAACACAUGCAAGUCGAACGGUGAACCACUUCGGUGGGGAUCAGUGGCGAACGGGUGAGUAACACGUGGGCAACCUGCCCUUAGCUCUGGGAUAACCCCGGAACCGGGCGUAAUACCGAUAUCACUUCGAGCGGCAUCACUCGGAGUUGAAGAUCUGCUAGAUGGCCGCGGCCUAUCAGCUUGUUGGUGGGGUAAGUGGCCUACC
This 226-nucleotide ribosomal RNA is filed under the name uncultured bacterium. RNAcentral describes it as "partial 16S ribosomal RNA". It matches the Rfam family "Bacterial small subunit ribosomal RNA", at positions 28 to 269 of the family's 1533-position model. The record is from RNAcentral.